Drosophila montana is the source of this 558-nucleotide long non-coding RNA. RefSeq lists it as uncharacterized. The transcript has 2 exons. The record is from RefSeq and is a predicted model, not a curated record. NCBI's taxonomy places the organism in Eukaryota, Metazoa, Arthropoda, Insecta, Diptera, Drosophilidae.
AUUAAGAUCUUUAAAAAGUUUGUUGAAACCGAUUUCCACUCAUUUAUCACAGCUGUGGGUGGAAUUUCACUCACAUCACAUGAGAAAAUACGGACAAAAAUUUUCAUCUACAUUUUUUUUAUCGAACUGUAUUCUGGCAUGCGAUGUGUAAGUGCAGAAUAUUACGGCACUUGAGCACACUUGUUGCCAAGAAAUUAGCAUUGAUUAGGGACAAAGCUCCAUAAAAACAGAAAAGUGGCCACCCAAUAAGCAAAACUGUCGACGUAUUCAUGCGAGCUUGAAAUUCCAAAGAGCAAACAAAUCUGAGUUGGCUUUUGCACAGUGUGCUACAGUUUUGUACUGAAAUUCAUAUUUUUUUUGGCAGCUGCAGCAGCAAAAUGGAAAUCAACAUUGGCAACAUGUUGACUUGACAGACGGAGAGUGAAAUUUCCAAGCAAUUGACACCCUUUUUCAAUCUGCCACUUCAAGCUGAAGUCAACCCUCGACGGCCUCAUGGCUUAUGAGGGCAAUUUCAAUAAAUUUGAGGCCGCCCACACCGCCCUCUAGAAUAGCUGUAUA